CCCUUAGAUGUUCUGGGCUGCACGCGUGCUACACUGAUAUUGCCAAUAUGUCAUUCUUAUCCGAAAUGGAUUGGGUAAUCAAGUAAUGAAAUUUCAUGCUUGGAAUCGGUAAUUGCAAUUUUAUCGUGAACGAGGCAUUCCUAGUAAGCACUAGUCAUCAGCUAAUGUUGAUUAUGUCCCUGCCCUUUGUACACACCGCCCGUCGCUACUACUGAUUGGGUGUUCAAGUGAGAUGCUUAGACCCUUGUUGCAUGGUUCAUUAUUGUGCUCCGAAAGGAAAAAGUUUCAAGCUUGAGUGUCUAGAGGAAGUAAAAGUCGUAACA
Molecule: ribosomal RNA, 323 nt
Filed under: uncultured eukaryote
Lineage: Eukaryota
Description: partial 18S ribosomal RNA
Rfam family: Eukaryotic small subunit ribosomal RNA
Source: RNAcentral